RNAcentral lists this ribosomal RNA (394 nucleotides) under uncultured Pseudomonadota bacterium. RNAcentral's name for it is "bacterial SSU rRNA". It matches the Rfam family "Bacterial small subunit ribosomal RNA", at positions 975 to 1366 of the family's 1533-position model. Lineage: Bacteria; Pseudomonadati; Pseudomonadota. The record is from RNAcentral.
CCACCUUUGACAUGUACGGAAGUCGCUAGAGAUAGCUUCGUGCUCGAAAGAGAACCGUAACACAGGUGCUGCAUGGCUGUCGUCAGCUCGUGUCGUGAGAUGUUGGGUUAAGUCCCGCAACGAGCGCAACCCUUGUCAUUAGUUGCUACAUUCAGUUGGGCACUCUAAUGAGACUGCCGGUGACAAACCGGAGGAAGGUGGGGAUGACGUCAAGUCCUCAUGGCCCUUAUAGGUGGGGCUACACACGUCAUACAAUGGCUGGUACAAAGGGUUGCCAACCCGCGAGGGGGAGCUAAUCCCAUAAAACCAGUCGUAGUCCGGAUCGCAGUCUGCAACUCGACUGCGUGAAGUCGGAAUCGCUAGUAAUCGUGGAUCAGAAUGUCACGGUGAAACG